GACGAACGCUGGCGGCGUGCCUAAUACAUGCAAGUAGAACGCUGAAGGAGGAGCUUGCUCUUCGGGAUGAGUUGCGAACGGGUGAGUAACGCGUAGGUAACCUGCCUGGUAGCGGGGGAUAACUAUUGGAAACGAUAGCUAAUACCGCAUAAAAUUGAUUAUUGCAUGAUAGUCAAUUAAAAGGUGCAAUUGCAUCACUACCAGAUGGACCUGCGUUGUAUUAGCUAGUUGGUGAGGUAACGGCUCACCAAGGCCACGAUACAUAGCCGACCUGAGAGGGUGAUCGGCCACACUGGGACGAGGACACGGCCCAAACUCCUACGGGAGGCAGCAGUAGGGAAUCUUCGGCAAUGGACGGAAGUCUGACCGAGCAACGCCGCGUGAGUGAAGAAGGUUUUCGGAUCGUAAAGCUCUGUUGUAAGAGAAGAACGAGUGUGAGAGUGGAAAGUUCACACUGUGACGGUAUCUUACCAGAAAGAGACGGCUAACUACGUG
RNAcentral lists this ribosomal RNA (495 nucleotides) under uncultured bacterium. Its description in RNAcentral is "partial 16S ribosomal RNA". It matches the Rfam family "Bacterial small subunit ribosomal RNA", at positions 28 to 507 of the family's 1533-position model. The record is from RNAcentral.